GGUGAUGGCGUACCUUUUGUAGAAUGGACCGGCGAGUGACGAUUUCAUGCAAGGUUAAUCUGAAGAAGAGGAGCCGCAGCGAAAGCGAGUCUGAAUAGGGCGUGCAGUAUGAGGUCGUCGACCCGAAACCAGGUGACCUACCCAUGUGCAGGGUGAAGGUGCGGUGAAACGCACUGGAGCCCGAACCACGUAUGUUGAAAAAUGCGGGGAUGACGUGUGGUAGCGGUGAAAUUCCAAUCGAACCUGGAGAUAGCUGGUUCUCUCCGAAAUAGCUUUAGGCUAGCCUCGGAUGAUGCAUCGUGGAGGUAGAGCGACUGUUUGGACGAGGGCCCUUGCGGGUACCGAAUCCUGAUAAACUCCGAAUGCCACAGAUGUUAAUCCGGGAGUCACACUGCGAGUGAUAAGAUCCGUAGUGGAAAGGGAAACAACCCAGACCGUCGGCUAAGGUCCCCAAAUCCUUGUUAAGUGGAAAAGGAUGUGGGGCUGCUUAGACAACUAGGAUGUUGGCUUAGAAGCAGCCAUCAUUUAAAGAGUGCGUAAUAGCUCACUAGUCGAGUGGCCCUGCGCCGAAAAUUUACCGGGGCUAAACAAGGUACCGAAGCCACGGAUAGAACCUUUGGUUCUAUGGUAGGAGAGCGUUCUAAUCAGCAUAGAAGCCUGACUGUGAAGACAGGUGGAGCGAUUAGAAGUGAGAAUGCCGGUAUGAGUAGCGAAAGACAGGUGAGAAUCCUGUCCACCGAAUGACUAAGGUUUCCUGGGGAAGGCUCGUCCUCCAGGGUUAGUCGGGACUAAGCUGAGGCCGAACGGCAUAGGCGAUGGUCAACAGGUUGAUAUUCCUGUACCAGUUUCUUUUGUUUGACCGAUGGAGGACGUAGCAGGCUAAGAUAUGCCCACUGAUGGAUAUGUGGGCGCAAAUAAUAAGUCUGGCGAUGAGUCAAAUGCUUAUCGCUAAGGACAAGUUAUGACGCGGAGGGAAGUACAGUACCGAAGUAUCUGACGUCACACUGCCAAGAAAAGCUUCUAGGGAGAAAGCAACUGCCCGUACCGCAAACCGACACAGGUAGUCGAGAUGAGAAUUCUAAGGUGAGCGAGCGAACUCUCGUUAAGGAACUCGGCAAAAUGACCCCGUAACUUAGGGAGAAGGGGUGCUAACGCAAGUUAGCCGCAGUGAAUAGGCCAGGCGACUGUUUACCAAAAACACAGGUCUCUGCUAAUUCGAAAGAAGAUGUAUAGGGGCUGACACCUGCCCGGUGCUGGAAGGUUAAGAGGACAAGUUAGCGUAUGCGAAGCUUUGAAUUGAAGCCCCAGUAAACGGCGGCCGUAACUAUAACGGUCCUAAGGUAGCGAAAUUCCUUGUCGGGUAAGUUCCGACCCGCACGAAAGGUGUAACGAUCUGGGCACUGUCUCAACGAGAGACUCGGUGAAAUUAUAGUACCUGUGAAGAUGCAGGUUACCCGCGACAGGACGAAAAGACCCCAUGGAGCUUUACUGUAGCUUGAUAUUGAGUGUCUGUACGGUUUGUACAGGAUAGGUAGGAGCCAUUGAACUCUGGACGCCAGUCUAGAGGAGGCAUUGGUGGGAUACUACCCUCACCGUACGGCCACUCUAACUCGCGCCCCUUAACGGGGUGGAAGACAGUGUCAGGUGGGCAGUUUGACUGGGGCGGUCGCCUCCUAAACAGUAACGGAGGCGCCCAAAGGUUCCCUCAGAAUGGUUGGAAAUCAUUCGUAGAGUGUAAAGGCAGAAGGGAGCUUGACUGCGAGACUUACAAGUCGAGCAGGGACGAAAGUCGGGCUUAGUGAUCCGGUGGUUCCGUAUGGAAGGGCCAUCGCUCAACGGAUAAAAGCUACCCUGGGGAUAACAGGCUUAUCUCCCCCAAGAGUUCACAUCGACGGGGAGGUUUGGCACCUCGAUGUCGGCUCAUCGCAUCCUGGGGCUGGAGUUGGUCCAAGGGUUGGGCUGUUCGCCCAUUAAAGCGGUACGCGAGCUGGGUUCAGAACGUCGUGAGACAGUUCGGUCUCUAUCCGUCGCGGGCGUUGGAAAUUUGAAGAGAGCCAUCCUUAGUACGAGAGGACCGGGAUGGACGCACCGCUGGUGUACCAGUUGUCAUGCCAAUGGCAUAGCUGGGUAGCUAUGUGCGGGAAGGAUAAGCGCUGAAAGCAUCUAAGCGUGAAGCCCCCUUUAAGAUGAGAUUUCCCAUUCCUAUAAGGAAGUAAGACCCCUGAAAGAAGAUCAGGUCGAUAGGCUCGAAGUGGAAGUGUGGUGACAUACGGAGCGGACGAGUACUAAUCGGUCGAGGACUUAACCAAA
This 2310-nucleotide ribosomal RNA is filed under the name Dolosigranulum pigrum. RNAcentral's name for it is "bacterial LSU rRNA". It matches the Rfam family "Bacterial large subunit ribosomal RNA", at positions 592 to 2925 of the family's 2925-position model. The record is from RNAcentral. Lineage: Bacteria; Bacillati; Bacillota; Bacilli; Lactobacillales; Carnobacteriaceae.